GGGACACGUGGUAUCCUGUCUGAAUAUGGGGGGACCAUCCUCCAAGGCUAAAUACUCCUGACUGACCGAUAGUGAACCAGUACCGUGAGGGAAAGGCGAAAAGAACCCCGGCGAGGGGAGUGAAAAAGAACCUGAAACCGUGUACGUACAAGCAGUGGGAGCACGCUUAGGCGUGUGACUGCGUACCUUUUGUAUAAUGGGUCAGCGACUUAUAUUCUGUAGCAAGGUUAACCGAAUAGGGGAGCCGAAGGGAAACCGAGUCUUAACUGGGCGUUAAGUUGCAGGGUAUAGACCCGAAACCCGGUGAUCUAGCCAUGGGCAGGUUGAAGGUUGGGUAACACUAACUGGAGGACCGAACCGACUAAUGUUGAAAAAUUAGCGGAUGACUUGUGGCUGGGGGUGAAAGGCCAAUCAAACCGGGAGAUAGCUGGUUCUCCCCGAAAGCUAUUUAGGUAGCGCCUCGUGAAUUCAUCUCCGGGGGUAGAGCACUGUUUCGGCAAGGGGGUCAUCCCGACUUACCAACCCGAUGCAAACUGCGAAUACCGGAGAAUGUUAUCACGGGAGACACACGGCGGGUGCUAACGUCCGUCGUGAAGAGGGAAACAACCCAGACCGCCAGCUAAGGUCCCAAAGUCAUGGUUAAGUGGGAAACGAUGUGGGAAGGCCCAGACAGCCAGGAUGUUGGCUUAGAAGCAGCCAUCAUUUAAAGAAAGCGUAAUAGCUCACUGGUCGAGUCGGCCUGCGCGGAAGAUGUAACGGGGCUAAACCAUGCACCGAAGCUGCGGCAGCGACGCUGAUGCGUUGUUGGGUAGGGGAGCGUUCUGUAAGCC
RNAcentral lists this ribosomal RNA (830 nucleotides) under Escherichia coli. RNAcentral's name for it is "partial 23S ribosomal RNA". It matches the Rfam family "Bacterial large subunit ribosomal RNA", at positions 419 to 1249 of the family's 2925-position model. Lineage: Bacteria; Pseudomonadati; Pseudomonadota; Gammaproteobacteria; Enterobacterales; Enterobacteriaceae. The record is from RNAcentral.